GAUAUAAAGAUAAAAAUCAUUUUAUUCUUCACUUGGUCAACAAGAGCAAGAGGAUAUUUUCUGUCCACUUAGGAGAUUCCUGGAGUUCCUUGACCAGAAGCAAUGUUGGGUGAAAUACCAUGAUGAUGAAUAAGACUUUCUGCAAGUCCAUGGAUGGUAGCUUGGGCAGAGGCACUGAAUGCUGGGAUCAAUUGACUCUGUUUGCCUGGCCUGAGGAUGGCUCCUGGGUAUCAUUGCUCUGGCAGGUGGUUUUCAUUUGCUGUCUAGAGAUGCUGGCACUCCAGCAAACACAGCUCCCAUCUCACUCCCAGCCAGGUCCCCAAUGCUGCCUGCAUCUGAUACAAUGGCCUGUUACCUCCUGAAAUAUGUGGUU
Long non-coding RNA from Galeopterus variegatus (Sunda flying lemur), 373 nucleotides. RefSeq lists it as uncharacterized. The record is from RefSeq and is a predicted model, not a curated record. The transcript has 3 exons. NCBI's taxonomy places the organism in Eukaryota, Metazoa, Chordata, Mammalia, Dermoptera, Cynocephalidae.